RNAcentral lists this transfer-messenger RNA (374 nucleotides) under Brachybacterium nesterenkovii. Its description in RNAcentral is "Standard tmRNA". It matches the Rfam family "transfer-messenger RNA". Rfam says of the family: Bacterial tmRNA, also known as 10Sa RNA or SsrA, is named for its dual tRNA and mRNA-like properties. Its role is to liberate the mRNA from a stalled ribosome. To accomplish this part of the tmRNA is used as a reading frame that ends in a translation stop signal. The record is from Rfam by way of RNAcentral. Lineage: Bacteria; Bacillati; Actinomycetota; Actinomycetes; Micrococcales; Dermabacteraceae.
GGGGCCGAUCGGUUUCGACGGUAGUUGUCCAGCGAGGGGAAGCGGGCCGAGGAUCCCAGGUCAUCUCGUCAACGCUCCUGGGAAACCAAUAAGUGCCGAAACCAAGCGCACUGACUUCGCUCUCGCCGCCUGAUAGCCGCGACAGCAGUCUGGAACCCCGGGUUCGCUCCUGACCCGGAUCGUUCCAUCAGCUAAGGAGCCACUGCUGCCCUCCCUCGUCAUCGGGGAGGGAUGAACACCUCAGAGUGACUGAGUCCGUCGACGAACGUGUCCGUGCGAGCGUCGGGACUGAGAAAACGCCUUCACGGACUGCGCCCGGAGAAGCCCUCGCUCCGCACUAUCGGACGCGGGUUCGAUUCCCGCCGGCUCCACGA